UUGCACUGGGCUGUCACCCUCACUUGGUGUGCAGGCAGGGCCCAGGUCAGGGACGUGUGACCAUCCAUGCUCACCCUGAUUCUGCUGCUGAGGCAGAGCUUAGAGCACUAGGCUCUAAGGCUACCAUGCCCCAGGCCCUGUGACCAGCAUGGCCACUUCAUGGAUGUACUGCACCCAUGCCCACCCCUCUCCCUUACAGACUACCCCAAUAGCAUCUGGCUCACAACUGCCAUGGCCAGGGAAGACCCCAGAGUGUGAAUCACCUCCAACACCCCUACCUGCAAGCCCAGAAGUUCACCAAUGACCUGUGGGAGUCUGUGGAAGAAGUGUGGGAGAUGGAGAAGCAAUGGAUAGAACCACAGGGAGGAGGUUUCAUCCCUCAUGUCUCCUGGAUUCCCCAGGCCACCUGGGCUCCUGACUUGGCCUUUCUGUCUCUGACCGCAGGAGAGGUGCCUCUUGUCCUUUCUGGCCUCCACAGCCACUUGGAGGGACAGCAAUACCAGGACCUAUCUAGGACUCCACAUUGUGUGCAGUGGCGGGGACACCGCUGUCUCCUCCCAUCUGUGGCGGUCCGCUGUCUACCAGGAACACUG
RNAcentral lists this long non-coding RNA (593 nucleotides) under Cavia porcellus (domestic guinea pig). Its description in RNAcentral is "lncRNA (ENSCPOG00000040422.1)". Lineage: Eukaryota; Metazoa; Chordata; Mammalia; Rodentia; Caviidae. The record is from RNAcentral.